Molecule: ribosomal RNA, 496 nt
Filed under: uncultured Acidobacteriota bacterium
Lineage: Bacteria; Pseudomonadati; Acidobacteriota
Description: bacterial SSU rRNA
Rfam family: Bacterial small subunit ribosomal RNA
Source: RNAcentral
UGAAGGUCUUUGGAUUGUAAACUCCUGUCAGCAGGGAAAAAGGGAGGUGACCUAAUACGUCGUUGACUUGAUUGUACCUGCAGAGGAAGCCCCGGCUAACUCUGUGCCAGCAGCCGCGGUAAUACAGAGGGGGCAAGCGUUAUUCGGAAUUAUUGGGCGUAAAGGGCGCGUAGGCGGCUAUGCAAGUGGCGGGUGAAAUCCCUCGGCUUAACCGAGGAACUGCCUGCCAGACUGCAUGGCUCGAGACCGGGAGAGGUGAGUGGAAUUCCCAGUGUAGCGGUGAAAUGCGUAGAUAUUGGGAGGAACACCAGUGGCGAAGGCGGCUCACUGGACCGGUACUGACGCUGAGGCGCGAAAGCGUGGGGAGCAAACAGGAUUAGAUACCCUGGUAGUCCACGCCGUAAACGAUGAGUGCUUGGUGUAGCGGGUAUCGACCCCUGCUGUGCCGACGUCAACACAUUAAGCACUCCGCCUGGGGAGUACGGUCGCAAGACUG